Molecule: ribosomal RNA, 203 nt
Filed under: uncultured Polaromonas sp.
Lineage: Bacteria; Pseudomonadati; Pseudomonadota; Betaproteobacteria; Burkholderiales; Comamonadaceae
Description: partial 16S ribosomal RNA
Rfam family: Bacterial small subunit ribosomal RNA
Source: RNAcentral
AUGACGUCAAGUCCUCAUGGCCCUUAUAGUGGGGCUACACACGUCAUACAAUGGAUGGUACAAAGGGGUCGCCAACCCGCGAGGGGGAGCCAAUCCCAUAAGCCAUUCGUAGUCCGGAUCGCAGUCUGCAACUCGACUGCGUGAAGUCGGAAUCGCUAGUAAUCGUGGAUCAGAAUGUCACGGUGAAUACGUUCCCGGGUCUU